RNAcentral lists this ribosomal RNA (466 nucleotides) under uncultured bacterium. Its description in RNAcentral is "partial 16S ribosomal RNA". It matches the Rfam family "Bacterial small subunit ribosomal RNA", at positions 28 to 507 of the family's 1533-position model. The record is from RNAcentral.
GAUGAACGCUGGCGGCGCGCUUAACACAUGCAAGUCGAACGGAAAGGCCACAGCUUGCUGUGGUACUCGAGUGGCGAACGGGUGAGUAACACGUGGGUGAUCUGCCCUGUACUUCGGGAUAAGCUUGGGAAACUGGGUCUAAUACCGGAUAGGAAUCACAUGUGGGUGUGUGGUUGGAAAGCUUUUGCGGUAUGGGAUGAGCUCGCGGCCUAUCAGCUUGUUGGUGGGGUAAUGGCCUACCAAGGCGUCGACGGGUAGCCGGCCUGAGAGGGUGUACGGCCACAUUGGGACUGAGAUACGGCCCAGACUCCUACGGGAGGCAGCAGUGGGGAAUAUUGCACAAUGGGCGCAAGCCUGAUGCAGCGACGCCGCGUGGGGGAUGACGGCCUUCGGGUUGUAAACUCCUUUCGUCAGGGACGAAGCGAAAGUGACGGUACCUGGAUAAGAAGCACCGGCUAACUACGUG